This 512-nucleotide ribosomal RNA is filed under the name uncultured Planctomycetota bacterium. RNAcentral describes it as "bacterial SSU rRNA". It matches the Rfam family "Bacterial small subunit ribosomal RNA", at positions 355 to 866 of the family's 1533-position model. The record is from RNAcentral. Lineage: Bacteria; Pseudomonadati; Planctomycetota.
UCGAGAAUCUUCGGCAAUGGGCGAAAGCCUGACCGAGCGACGCCGCGUGCGGGAUGAAGGCCCUCGGGUUGUAAACCGCUGUCGUAGGGGAGGAAGGCUCCGUGAAGAGCGGGGUUUGACCUAUCCUAGGAGGAAGUACGGGCUAAGUUCGUGCCAGCAGCCGCGGUAAUACGAACCGUACAAACGUUAUUCGGAAUCACUGGGCUUAAAGGGUGCGUAGGCGGCCAUGUAAGUGAGGUGUGAAAUCCCUCGGCUUAACCGAGGAACUGCGCUUCAUACUGCAUGGCUUGAGGGAGACAGGGGUAAGCGGAACUGAUGGUGGAGCGGUGAAAUGCGUUGAUAUCAUCAGGAACACCGGUGGCGAAAGCGGCUUACUGGGUCUCUUCUGACGCUGAGGUACGAAAGCUAGGGUAGCGAACGGGAUUAGAUACCCCGGUAGUCCUAGCUGUAAACGAUGAGCACUUAUCUGGGGAUCCUCCAUAGGUUCCCGGAUGAAGCGAAAGUGUUAAGUG